Molecule: ribosomal RNA, 253 nt
Filed under: uncultured bacterium
Lineage: Bacteria
Description: partial 16S ribosomal RNA
Rfam family: Bacterial small subunit ribosomal RNA
Source: RNAcentral
UACGAAGGGUCCAAGCGUUAUCCGGAUUUAUUGGGUUUAAAGGGUGCGUAGGCGGCUUAUUAAGUCAGUGGUGAAAGACUUCAGCUUAACUGAAGAACUGCCAUUGAUACUGAUGAGCUUGAGUACAGUUGAGGUGGGCGGAAUGUGUCAUGUAGCGGUGAAAUGCUUAGAUAUGACACAGAACACCGAUUGCGAAGGCAGCUCGCUAAACUGUAACUGACGCUGAUGCACAAAAGCGUGGGGAGCAAACAGG